GUGUUGCUGGCAUCAAAUUCUAAAGUUAUUGAUUAUUUGCACCAAAAAAACGUUUAUAAGUUUGAACAUCAAAUAUGUUGUCUUUGUAGCAUAUUCAACUGAAUAUGGGUUGAAAAGGAUUUGCAAAUCAUUGUAUUCUGUUUAUAUUUACAUCUAACACAAUUUCCCAACUCAUAUGGAAACGGGGUUUGUACUUAAUUUAAUAAUUAAUUACAUUUAUGAAAGAGUAAUUCUGUUUGUAAUUGAAUUUUUUGUCAAGUAACGACUAUUAUUAUUCCUUUUUAAAACAGAUAUUCCAAACAUUGUUAAUUGAUAAACUGUUUUAUCAGGAUAUGGUGUAUUUGCUCUUGCAUCAAUUUAAAAAGGUUCUUUUGUGGUCGAGUACCGAGGGAAGUUCAUCUCAAGACAUGAGCGGGACAAGAGACAGAAACCCUCUAUAAAUAUCUUUAGUAUUUAUCUGGCAUUAUAUGCUCAUAAUGUUAACAACAAAAAGUGCUGAUAAUGUUAUAAUUAAUAAGUUCUAACAUUAUUUUUCUGUGUUUUGUUGCAGACAGCAACUGUUGAUGUUCUAUCUCAACAUUCUCCAGAUUCAUGUGAGCGAUAAACCGACUUCAUCCCUCCAACAGACACCAACUGUUGGGGUUCUAUCUCAACAUUCUCCAGAUUCAGAUGUGAGCGAUAAACCGACUUCAUCCCUCCAACAGAAACCAACUGUUGAGGUUCCAUCUCAACAUUCUCCAGAUUCAGAUGUGAGCCAUUAACUGACUUCAUCCCUCCAACAG
Molecule: long non-coding RNA, 782 nt
Organism: Nerophis ophidion (straightnose pipefish)
Lineage: Eukaryota; Metazoa; Chordata; Actinopteri; Syngnathiformes; Syngnathidae
Exons: 3
Source: RefSeq, a predicted model, not a curated record